Molecule: ribosomal RNA, 481 nt
Filed under: uncultured bacterium
Lineage: Bacteria
Description: partial 16S ribosomal RNA
Rfam family: Bacterial small subunit ribosomal RNA
Source: RNAcentral
GAUGAACGCUGGCGGCGUGCUUAACACAUGCAAGUCGAACGAAGCACUUUAUUUGAUUUCCUUCGGGACUGAUUAUUUUGUGACUGAGUGGCGGACGGGUGAGUAACGCGUGGGUAACCUGCCUUGUACAGGGGGAUAACAGUUGGAAACGGCUGCUAAUACCGCAUAAGCGCACGGCAUCGCAUGAUGCAGUGUGAAAAACUCCGGUGGUAUAAGAUGGACCCGCGUUGGAUUAGCUAGUUGGUGAGGUAACGGCCCACCAAGGCGACGAUCCAUAGCCGACCUGAGAGGGUGACCGGCCACAUUGGGACUGAGACACGGCCCAAACUCCUGCGGGAGGCAGCAGUGGGGAAUAUUGCACAAUGGGCGAAGGCCUGAUGCAGCGACGCCGCGUGAGCGAAGAAGUAUUUCGGUAUGUAAAGCUCUAUCAGCAGGGAAGAUAAUGACGGUACCUGACUAAGAAGCACCGGCUAAAUACGUG